Molecule: ribosomal RNA, 301 nt
Filed under: uncultured bacterium
Lineage: Bacteria
Description: partial 16S ribosomal RNA
Rfam family: Bacterial small subunit ribosomal RNA
Source: RNAcentral
CAGCCGCCACGGGAAUACAGAGGGUGCAAGCGUUAAUCGGAAUUAUUGGGCGUAAAGGGUGCGUAGGUGGUCAUUUAAGUCAGAUGUGAAAUCCCAGGGCUUAACCUUGGAAUUGCAUUUGAUACUGGGUGGCUAGAGUACAGAAGAGGGAAGUGGAAUUUCCGGUGUAGCGGUGAAAUGCGUAGAUAUCGGAAGGAACAUCAGUGGCGAAGGCGACUUCCUGGUCUGUAACUGACACUGAGGCACGAAAGCGUGGGGAGCAAACAGGAUUAGAUACCCCAGUAGUCCCUGUCUCUUAUAC